RNAcentral lists this unclassified non-coding RNA (214 nucleotides) under Hevea brasiliensis (rubber tree). The record is from RNAcentral. Lineage: Eukaryota; Viridiplantae; Streptophyta; Magnoliopsida; Malpighiales; Euphorbiaceae.
GGAUUCUCUUCAAUUCUAGGUUAGUUUCCUCAAGCUUUUCUUGCUCAGCUUCAUCAGCUUCUUGUCCAAGAACAAGUUUUUCAACAUGCAUUUCUAGAACUAGCUCUUCAACAUGUGAAGACUCAACAACCAAAUCUUCAGAUUCUUCAAGUUCAAACUUUUCAAACUGCUCUUUGUUCUUCAAUUCCAUUUUCAAGUUGCUUUUAGAUUCAAG